AGGAUUUGACAAGAGAAUAAGACCUUUAUUAGGUGUUAUACAAGAUUCAAGCCGUAUGAUCCUUAUUAUAGCUGGAAAAACUUGUUUUCCAAUACCUUAUCUUCUUUGGCAACCAUGCUCCUCUUUUUGUGAUUCCAUUGUUUCUUUGGGUAAUUGUGAUUGUUGUUUUACUUAUUCUACAAUUUCUUUCAAAAUAAACCUGUAUAUGAGAAUUUGAACACAGAAAAAGACUAAGUACAUGAAUUUUGCUUAUUAAGGUCACACAAUUAAUUGUAUUCAAAACCACUAAAACACUAAGAAAUACUAUGAUAUUUUUUCCCAGUAACAAUACU
Molecule: long non-coding RNA, 332 nt
Filed under: Physcomitrium patens
Lineage: Eukaryota; Viridiplantae; Streptophyta; Bryopsida; Funariales; Funariaceae
Description: long non-coding RNA (PPAT_LNC003178)
Source: RNAcentral